UGAAUCAGAUUCCAGAAUAUUUUGACGUAUACACAGCAAAAAAAGUUGUUGAAUAUUACAUCGAAAUCGCUGUUUAUGCCCACAGACCGGGUUAUUUUUUAUACAGCUGAAACGGCAUAGCGAAAUUCAACAUAUUGAAUGAUUGAUUUCGCUGUCGGUUAACAUUUUUCUCGGAUCGUUAGUAUUGUUCGCCUAUAUAGAGUAAUGAUUGGUUGUGCUGCUCGGGCCAUCCGCAGCGUAAUUGGUGAUGGAAAUAUCACCAGGGGUAGCAUUUCGCCUUGAAUAUGAUCUUCCGAUUCUGUGAAAUGACAUGACGAAAGGUGAGGCUGCUCAAUCGAAAUUACCAGGCUUAUUUGAGAUGAAUCACCACCGUGGAAAUAAUUCCCCAUAAAAAAUUUGACAGCUCCCAAAUUUCACAAUCAUCCGACGAAAUCGGGUGACUAUCAAAUCGACCUAUUUUCAUACCGACGAAGUCGAUUAUCGUUGACUACUUAUUUUCGUCGGCAGAUUUAUUGAAUAAAUAAAUCGGUUGCUGAUUUCAUCGGUUAAAUAAUCGAUUGAUUGUAUUUGUUGCCUAUUUUGAUCGCCUGAUUAAUGAACGUACGAAAUCGGGUGCCUGUGAUUAUGAAUUAAAAAUGAAGCAAGCUCGGAAGCAAACCGAGGUACGUUAAAGAACAUGCCGGAAGACUGGUUUUCCGAUAAUUAGCAGUAAUCAAGAAUCAUGAAGUUUGAGGCGAUCCCGCUCGAUCGAAAAAGUGUUCGUGCACUCUUGUCUGGGUCAAGAUCUUCGGAAGUAUGGACAUUCCUCGAAUAAUUGUCCAAGGCAUCCAUUAAAUCGAUUAAACACCCUAUUUGGUCGGAUUACAAUAUUUUGCACACCGAUCAAUCUCUAGAUUUAAUCUGAUACACUAGAUGAUGAAAUUAAAUAAACCGAUUUAACCCCAUA
This is a long non-coding RNA of Armigeres subalbatus, 946 nucleotides long. RefSeq lists it as uncharacterized. The transcript has 3 exons. NCBI's taxonomy places the organism in Eukaryota, Metazoa, Arthropoda, Insecta, Diptera, Culicidae. The record is from RefSeq and is a predicted model, not a curated record.